AUUGAACGCUGGCGGCAGGCCUAACACAUGCAAGUCGAACGGCAGCACAGAAGAGCUUGCUCUUCGGGUGGCGAGUGGCGGACGGGUGAGUAAUGUCUGGGAAACUGCCCGAUGGAGGGGGAUAACUACUGGAAACGGUAGCUAAUACCGCAUAACGUCGCGAGACCAAAGUGGGGGACCUUCGGGCCUCACACCAUCGGAUGUGCCCAGAUGGGAUUAGCUAGUAGGUGGGGUAACGGCUCACCUAGGCGACGAUCCCUAGCUGGUCUGAGAAGAUGACCAGCCACACUGGAACUGAGACACGGUCCAGACUCCUACGGGAGGCAGCAGUGGGGAAUAUUGCACAAUGGGCGCAAGCCUGAUGCAGCCAUGCCGCGUGUAUGAAGAAGGCCUUCGGGUUGUAAAGUACUUUCAGCGGGGAGGAAGGCGAUGUGGUUAAUAACCGCGUCGAUUGACGUUACCCGCAGAAGAAGCACCGGCUAACUCCGUG
Molecule: ribosomal RNA, 490 nt
Filed under: uncultured bacterium
Lineage: Bacteria
Description: partial 16S ribosomal RNA
Rfam family: Bacterial small subunit ribosomal RNA
Source: RNAcentral